GGAUUAGCGGAUUCCUUUUUUUGUAUGCUUUCCUGUAGCUCUUUUCCCGAUCUCUUUUUCUUCAUUAAAAGUGUUUACAAGCCGCAGACAUAUAGCCAGGGAGUGCCAUCCCUAAAAAAAAGAACUCUUUCUUAGUAGAGCUAUGACUUGGUUUAAUCCUACUAGAAAGGCAGUGAGUGACCUACAUUGAGUAGGAAUUUUGCAAUAUCCCUUCUAAGCCUAGGAGCUCUUGGAGGCAUUACCCCUGCUACAGUUGGAGUUGAUGGUCCCAGUCUUUUCUGUUUGCGUAGAAGUUCUUCCUCUUGCUCCAUCGAAUGCACUGAGAAA
This 327-nucleotide long non-coding RNA is filed under the name Durio zibethinus. Its description in RNAcentral is "long non-coding RNA (DZIB_LNC000168)". The record is from RNAcentral. Lineage: Eukaryota; Viridiplantae; Streptophyta; Magnoliopsida; Malvales; Malvaceae.